This 121-nucleotide small nucleolar RNA is filed under the name Echinops telfairi (small Madagascar hedgehog). Its description in RNAcentral is "Small nucleolar RNA SNORA42/SNORA80 family (ENSETEG00000022759.1)". It matches the Rfam family "Small nucleolar RNA SNORA42/SNORA80 family". From Rfam's summary of the family: The members of this family belong to the H/ACA class of snoRNAs that guide the sites of modification of uridines to pseudouridines. The record is from RNAcentral. Lineage: Eukaryota; Metazoa; Chordata; Mammalia; Afrosoricida; Tenrecidae.
GUAUGGAUUGUGAUAGGAAUUGUACAAGCUCACAGUGUCCCAUGCCAAAGCAAACUGUCACCCUGAACCAUUGCCUGGCUUUACCUGGUAGGCUUAAGGCACUGAAGUGGGUUGCACAGUU